Molecule: unclassified non-coding RNA, 306 nt
Filed under: uncultured fungus
Lineage: Eukaryota; Fungi
Description: sequence contains ITS2
Source: RNAcentral
AACGCACCUUGCACCCUUUGGUAUUCCGAAGGGUACACACGUUUGAGUGUCAUUGUAAUCUCACUACAUUCGACUUUGUGUCGCUUGUAUGUGGACUUGGAUGUUGCCGUGGAUUUCCACGGCUCGUCUGAAAUGCCUGAGUGUACCCCAUUUUGCGGCGUAUUCGGUGUGAUACAUCUUCACCGGAGUUGAUCCUUUCGGGUCGCGUCAGUAUGAGUGUGGCUCUAUGCUUCCAAUUGUCCCUUUAUAAGGACAAUCUCUUGACAAUUUGACCUCAAAUCGGGUGGGACUACCCGCUGAACUUAA